This 727-nucleotide ribosomal RNA is filed under the name Russula tuberculosa. Its description in RNAcentral is "eukaryotic LSU rRNA". The stretch from base 261 to 414 matches the Rfam family "5.8S ribosomal RNA". The record is from RNAcentral. Lineage: Eukaryota; Fungi; Basidiomycota; Agaricomycetes; Russulales; Russulaceae.
AAAAGUCGUAACAAGGUUUCCGUAGGUGAACCUGCGGAAGGAUCAUUAUUGUAUAAAUGGGGGGUGCAAAGGCUGUCGCUGACCUUCACAGAGGGUUGUGCACGCCCGAGUGCUCUCAAUAUAUAUACAUCUAUCUCACCCCUUUGUGCAUCAUUGCGUGGGUUCCCCCUCCUAAGAAAAGGGGGGCUUGCGUUAUUUUUUCACAUAUAACUCAGUAUCAGUAUAGAAUGUGCUUUAUUGUGAUUGUACACAAUUAAUACAACUUUCAACAACGGAUCUCUUGGCUCUCGCAUCGAUGAAGAACGCAGCGAAAUGCGAUACGUAAUGUGAAUUGCAGAAUUCAGUGAAUCAUCGAAUCUUUGAACGCACCUUGCGCCCCUUGGCAUUCCGAGGGGCACACCCGUUUGAGUGUCGUGAUAAUUCUCAAAAGCCCUUUUAUUUUCAAAAGGGUUUUUUGGACUUGGAGGUUUUAAUGCUUGCCUUUAAAAAGGUUGAGCUCCUCUUAAAUGAAUUAGUGGGAAUCUGUUUUGCUAAUCCUUAAUAUGAUAAGAUGUUUCAAUAUUUUUGGAUUUGGUGUGACAAACCUGCUUCUAACUGUGAUAAUGAUGGUGUUUCUGGUCACUGCUACUUUAAUGCUAGUGGAAGGCUAGACCCACAAUGAAAAAACCUUUGACCUCAAAUCGGGUGAGACUACCCGCUGAACUUAAGCAUAUCAAUAAGCGGAGGA